This 505-nucleotide ribosomal RNA is filed under the name uncultured bacterium. Its description in RNAcentral is "partial 16S ribosomal RNA". It matches the Rfam family "Bacterial small subunit ribosomal RNA", at positions 28 to 507 of the family's 1533-position model. The record is from RNAcentral.
GACGAACGCUGGCGGCGUGCCUAAUACAUGCAAGUAGAACGCACAGUUUAUACCGUAGCUUGCUACACCAUAGACUGUGAGUUGCGAACGGGUGAGUAACGCGUAGGUAACCUGCCUGGUAGCGGGGGAUAACUAUUGGAAACGAUAGCUAAUACCGCAUAAUAUUGAUUAUUGCAUGAUAAUUGAUUGAAAGAUGCUAUUGCAUCACUACCAGAUGGACCUGCGUUGUAUUAGCUAGUAGGUGAGGUAACGGCUCACCUAGGCGACGAUACAUAGCCGACCUGAGAGGGUGAUCGGCCACACUGGGACUGAGACACGGCCCAGACUCCUACGGGAGGCAGCCGGAGGGAAUCUUCGGCAAUGGACGAAAGUCUGACCGAGCAACGCCGCGUGAGUGAAGAAGGUUUUCGGAUCGUAAAGCUCUGUUGUAAGAGAAGAACGGGUGUGAGAGUGGAAAGUUCACACUGUGACGGUAUCUUACCAGAAAGGGACGGCUAACUACGUG